This 253-nucleotide ribosomal RNA is filed under the name uncultured bacterium. RNAcentral describes it as "partial 16S ribosomal RNA". It matches the Rfam family "Bacterial small subunit ribosomal RNA", at positions 524 to 776 of the family's 1533-position model. The record is from RNAcentral.
UACGGAGGGGGCCAGCGUUGUUCGGAAUCAUUGGGCGUAAAGGGCGCGUAGGCGGCCGAUCAAGUCCGACGUGAAAUCCCCCGGCUCAACCGGGGGCCUGCGUCGGAUACUGUUCGGCUCGAGUCCCGGAGAGGGUAGUGGAAUUCCCAGUGUAGCGGUGAAAUGCGUAGAUACUGGGAGGAACACCGGUGGCGAAGGCGGCUACCUGGACGGGUACUGACGCUGAGGCGCGAAAGCUAGGGGAGCAAACAGG